RNAcentral lists this ribosomal RNA (493 nucleotides) under uncultured bacterium. Its description in RNAcentral is "partial 16S ribosomal RNA". It matches the Rfam family "Bacterial small subunit ribosomal RNA", at positions 29 to 507 of the family's 1533-position model. The record is from RNAcentral.
ACGAACGCUGGCGGCGUGCUUAACACAUGCAAGUCGAACGGUGAAGCGCCUUCCUUUUUGGUGGGUGUGGAUGAGUGGCGAACGGGUGAGUAACACGUGAGUAACCUGCCCCCUUCUUCUGGAUAACCGCAUGAAAGUGUGGCUAAUACGGGAUAUUCUGGGUCUGUCGCAUGAUGGGUCUGGGAAAGAUAUUGUUUCGGUGGGGGAUGGGCUCGCGGCCUAUCAGCUUGUUGGUGGGGUGAUGGCCUACCAAGGCGGUGACGGGUAGCCGGCCUGAGAGGGUGGACGGUCACACUGGGACUGAGACACGGCCCAGACUCCUACGGGAGGCAGCAGUGGGGAAUAUUGCACAAUGGGCGCAAGCCUGAUGCAGCGACGCCGCGUGAGGGAUGGAGGCCUUCGGGUUGUGAACCUCUUUCGCCAGUGAAGCAGGCCUGCCUCGUCUGUGGGUGGGUUGACGGUAGCUGGAUAAGAAGCGCCGGCUAACUACGUG